UAGCCUCUACCCUGGAAGCACUAAAUGUUUAGUUCGUAGAACGCGGAAACUGUCACAGGGAUGCAAAUUUUGACAGAAUCAAGAUUCUAGAUGAUUUCGAUGAGCAAGAUUUGGAACCAAAAUUAAAUACAGGCCAAUGAUUAUGUCUAACAUUUUACAACCAAUGAACAAUGCUCAUUGAUUCUGACAUGGUAGAAGACAGAUUGUCCCAACAUGCAGAGGCUCAAUGCCAUGAGCGAAGGAAACGAGAGUCUGUCGAGUAUAAGUCAUAACAAUAGAGCAUGGACUGAUGUGUGUUUUGGAAGUCAUGUAUACAAGAGCUGGGAGCCGGACUGCUUUGGGGAGUUUUCCUUCUCCACAUGGCAACCAUGGGCAAGCCUCUUCAUGACCCUCUAAGACUGGUUUGGACUCACUGGUCUGAACAUAAAUAACAUCUGUAGCUGGCUUGAAUGUUUGGCUCAGAUAGACCAGUCUACAUUAGGAGAUGACUCAAGCCGUGUCACAUAAACCUGAGAGCCUCAGAUUCCUGACUCAGAAUCUCACCAUCUGGUCAAAAACAGACAUGGAGGUGAUAAAAAAUUGAUUCUAUAUCCUUAAGGCCACCAAGGUACAAAAAAGUGGGCAAAUGGACACUUUAAGGGGAAAGAAAAAGUCUUUUCUAUUUUCUGGUCUUUCUAUUUUCUGGAAAGGGCUUUGUGAGAGAUAUUUGUAAAAGUUUUACUUUUUUGUUCCUAAGUGAAGCUCCCUGGGGAUUUCAAGCAGCGGGAAGCUCAGUGGAAAACUUGCAAUUAACCAAUUAAUAUGAUGGAAUGCAAGGUAAAAACUCCUACAGUGGGCCAAGAAAAAGAUCGCCCUGGCCCUGAAUGGAGAGAACUGGCUGUUUAUACCUAGCAGGUUAGCAGUGUGAAUGCCAAGUUCUGCCUUCGAUCAUGCUGUGUGGGAAGGUGCACAGGUCUGCUCCAUCCAGGAAGAGGAUUUUAAUGAUGUGUGUUUUAUAAUGAACGGCCACAUGCUGCCUCGGAAACUCUGCUAAGUCAAGUCUGCUGGGAACAGUUCUCGAUUCUCCCUUUUGAGUUUGGAACACUUGGGCCAUAUGUGUAUAUAUAACUUUAUAAAAUAGAUUUUAUUUAUUUACAUCCCUUCUUGUCACAACCUUCCAAUAUCUGGAUCCCUUUAGAUGAAAAACUUCUGCUGUGCUAUAUUCUGUUAGUGAACCGGGGAGUCCAUCACUUGGAUUGCUUCUCUUGAUGAUUUGACAGAAUAGCUGACAAAAGUGGCUUCAUUAAGUUGGGGCUUAUCUCGGAUCACUGCUCCAAGGAGAUGCAAUGGCAAGUUUAUAUACCAAACCUGACUUGGCUACAGGAUACUCAGGUGUUUGUGGACACCUUUUGUAUGUUUUCGAGUGAAUAAGUGAAUCAAGUAAAGCAGACGGUUCUCCCCAGUGGAGCGCAUCCAAUUCUUGGGAGGUCUAAGUGUGGCCAAGGAGACACAGAAUCCAGAAUGGGAGACACCUUUGGGCUUUUGUGUGUCUUUGGCCAAAAGACCUUACAGACCAACUAUGUGAAAAAGGCAUUCAUCAUUGCUGUUCUACUUCAAAUGCCUUUUUAGAGAAAAGUCUUUCCUGAUUCCUUAGAAAUCCUUGGAAAACUCAAGUUACCACAGAGCCUUCUGAUUUGACUGCACUGGAUGACCAGAAGCCCCAGGGAUUCCCCUGUCUCUGUCUCCCAUUUCUGAG
Mus caroli (Ryukyu mouse) is the source of this 1735-nucleotide long non-coding RNA. RefSeq lists it as uncharacterized. The record is from RefSeq and is a predicted model, not a curated record. NCBI's taxonomy places the organism in Eukaryota, Metazoa, Chordata, Mammalia, Rodentia, Muridae.